GGAAUACUUAAGCAAAAUGAGCAAUAACAGCUCCAGUAUUCUUAUUAAUGAUAAUUAAUCUUAGCAGUGAAUUAAAAAUUUGGAUUUCAUGCUACUGGUUCAAAACGAUCCUAUGGCUCAAAUACACACAGUUUAUGGUUUCUAAACCAACACAUCACAAUUAAAGAUAUAGAUAUGUAGAAGAACAUUUUUUGAGACAAA
This 201-nucleotide unclassified non-coding RNA is filed under the name Hevea brasiliensis (rubber tree). Lineage: Eukaryota; Viridiplantae; Streptophyta; Magnoliopsida; Malpighiales; Euphorbiaceae. The record is from RNAcentral.